RNAcentral lists this ribosomal RNA (167 nucleotides) under uncultured bacterium. RNAcentral describes it as "partial 16S ribosomal RNA". It matches the Rfam family "Bacterial small subunit ribosomal RNA", at positions 1320 to 1500 of the family's 1533-position model. The record is from RNAcentral.
AUGAAGCUGGAAUUGCUAGUAAUCAUAGGUCAGCAUACUAUGGUGAAUACGUUCCCGGGCCUUGUACACACCGCCCGUCACACCAUGAGAGUUGAGAAUACCCGAAGUCCAUGUCAAAGUGGCCGAAGGUAGGCUUGAUGAUUGGGGUGAAGUCGUAACAAGGUAAC